Molecule: ribosomal RNA, 424 nt
Filed under: uncultured prokaryote
Description: bacterial SSU rRNA
Rfam family: Bacterial small subunit ribosomal RNA
Source: RNAcentral
UGAGGAAUAUUGCGCAAUGGGGGAAACCCUGACGCAGCCAUGCCGCGUGAGUGAAGAAGGCCUUAGGGUUGUAAAGCUCUUUCAGAUGCGAAGAUAAUGACGGUAACAUCAGAAGAAGCCCCGGCUAAAUUCGUGCCAGCAGCCGCGGUAAUACGAAUGGGGCAAGCGUUGUUCGGAAUCACUGGGCUUAAAGCGUGCGUAGGCGGACUCGCAAGUCAGGAGUGAAAUCCCGGGGCUCAACCCCGGAACUGCUCUUGAAACUGCAAGUCUAGAAUCCGGGAGAGGUCAGGAGAAUUCCAAGUGUAGAGGUGAAAUUCGCAGAUAUUUGGAGGAAUACCAGUGGCGUAGGCGCCUGACUGGACCGGUAUUGACGCUCAGGCACGAAAGCGUGGGGAGCAAACAGGAUUAGAUACCCCCGUAGUCC